AUACUUAGCUGUCAGGGGAGACACCAUGCUCACGAAGGUGGUUUUCCUAGGGCAAGGCUUAUCCAUUGCACUCAGGAUGUGCUGACUCUUGUGAUUUCCGCAAAUGUGGGAAACUCGACUGCAUAACUUGUGAUAGUGAGGAACUGCAUUUGCACUCUCCCCU
Sorex araneus (European shrew) is the source of this 163-nucleotide small nuclear RNA. RefSeq annotates it as U1 spliceosomal RNA. NCBI's taxonomy places the organism in Eukaryota, Metazoa, Chordata, Mammalia, Eulipotyphla, Soricidae. The record is from RefSeq and is a predicted model, not a curated record. The transcript has a single exon.